Molecule: ribosomal RNA, 253 nt
Filed under: uncultured bacterium
Lineage: Bacteria
Description: partial 16S ribosomal RNA
Rfam family: Bacterial small subunit ribosomal RNA
Source: RNAcentral
UACGGAGGGUGCGAGCGUUGUCCGGAAUCACUGGGCGUAAAAGGCGCGUAGGCGGCUUGGGAAGUCCGUGGUGAAAGCUCGUGGCUCAACUGCGAGUCGGCCAUGGAUACUCCUAAGCUCGAGUCGACUAGAGGCAGAUGGAAUUCCGGGUGUAGCGGUGGAAUGCGUAGAGAUCCGGAAGAACACCGGUGGCGAAGGCGGUCUGCUGGGGUCGAACUGACGCUGAGGCGCGACAGCGUGGGGAGCAAACAGG